UACGAGGGGUGCAAGCGUUGCUCGGAAUUAUUGGGCGUAAAGGGUUGGUAGGUGGUCUUGUUUGUCUAGGGUGAAAUCCCAUGGCUUAACUGUGGAAGUGCCCUAGAAACGGCAAGACUAGAGUCCUAGAGGGGUUUGUGGAAUUCCCGGUGUAGCGGUGAAAUGCGUAGAGAUCGGGAGGAACACCAGCGGCGAAGGCGGCAAACUGGAUAGGAACUGACACUCAACAACGAAAGCGUGGGGAGCAAACAGG
RNAcentral lists this ribosomal RNA (253 nucleotides) under uncultured bacterium. RNAcentral describes it as "partial 16S ribosomal RNA". It matches the Rfam family "Bacterial small subunit ribosomal RNA", at positions 524 to 776 of the family's 1533-position model. The record is from RNAcentral.